GUCUCAGUAGCUUAAUGGUUAGAGCGUGGCGCUAGUUAUGUAAACAUGAUGACAAGGUUGCGAGUUCAAGCCUCGCCUGAGAUA
Molecule: transfer RNA, 84 nt
Filed under: Anticarsia gemmatalis nucleopolyhedrovirus
Lineage: Naldaviricetes; Lefavirales; Baculoviridae
Rfam family: tRNA
About the family: Transfer RNA (tRNA) molecules are approximately 80 nucleotides in length.
Source: Rfam by way of RNAcentral